UUAAGUUCAGCGGGUAAUCCCGCCUGAUUUCAGAUCAAAGGUAAAGGGUUAGUUGCAACUUUCGGCAGACCGGCCCCACUCUUUCUAAAAGUACAUUUAUCAAGUGCGGGAGACCAUUUGGCCCACCAUUGCAACAGUAAUUCCAGCCGAGACAAUCCCCCUGAUGGGAGACCGCUGGGCCACCGGUUAUGCUCUUUCCC
RNAcentral lists this unclassified non-coding RNA (200 nucleotides) under Absidia sp. (in: mucoromycotan fungi). Its description in RNAcentral is "Absidia sp. (in: Fungi) partial internal transcribed spacer 2". The record is from RNAcentral. Lineage: Eukaryota; Fungi; Mucoromycota; Mucoromycetes; Mucorales; Cunninghamellaceae.